AUGUCUAAGUCCAUGUGUUAAACACGAAACCGCGCAUAGCUCAUUACAACAGCUGUAAUAUACACGCAGUUAUUCUAUAUGGAUAACUAUGGAAAAUCUGGAGCUAAUACAUGCAAUUAUAUAAUUUGUAUUCUGUACAAAUUAUGCAGUUAUUAGAACAAACCAAUGGGUUUACCCAUAUUUUGUUGACUCUGGAUAAUGUAAAACCACUUAGCCUUUGGCGGUGGAAAUGCGUGUAUGCAUCUGCCCUAUCAACUAAAUAACCGUGUAUUGAACGGUUAUAGUUUUGCCGGGUAACGGAGAAUUAGGGUUCGACUCCGGAGAGAAUGCCUUAGAAACAGCUUUCACAUCCAAGGACGGCAGCAGGCGCGAAAAUUACCCACUCUUAGCUCGAGGAGGUAGUGACGUGAAAUGACAAGUUUAAUUCUUUACGGAAUUAAACAUUGGAAUGGUUUAAUUUUAAAACCAUCCAAGAUUAUCAAUGAGAGGGCAAGUCUGGUGCCAGCAGCCGCGGUAAUUCCAGCUCUCAUACUGAAUUGAACUGCUGUUGCGGUUAAAAAGUUCGUAGUUGCAAAUGUACAUUUAUAAUUGGUUUUUACUAACGUAAAAUACUAAUUAUAAUGUAAAAAUAAAUUUUUUGUAAAAAGAAAAUUUAUUGUUACUUUGAGUAAAUCAAAGUGAUUCGAACAGGCGUAAGCUUGUAUGGUUGUCCAAGGGAUAGCAUAACAAAACGUUGGUUUUGUUUGUUGGUUUAAAAACCUACGAAUGAUUAAAAGGGACAAACGGGGGCAAAAGUAUAGCUCGGCGAGAGGUGAAAUUCGUGGACCCCAGCUAGACUACCUACAGCGAAAGCAUUUGCCAAGAAUGUYUUCAUUAAUCAAGAACGAAAGUCAGAGGAUCGAAGGCGAUUAGAUACCGCCCUAGUUCUGACCGUAAACUAUACCAUCUAACGAGUCGGUGCCGGUCUUAACAGAUUGCCACUUUGACGAGUUUGCUCGGAAACGAAAGUCUUUCGGUUCCGGGGGAUGUAUGGUUGCAAAACUGAAACUUAAAGGGAUUGACGGAAAGUCACCACCAGAAAUGGAGCUUGCGGCUUAAUUUGACUCAACACGGGAAAACUUACUCAGUCUAGACACUAAGAGGAUUGACACUGUAAUACAGUCUCAAAAUAUGGUGCAAAGUGGUGCAUGGCCGUUCUUAGUUCGUGGAGUAAUCUGUCUGGUUAAUUCCGAUAACGAACGAGACUAGAACAGAGUUUGUUAUUUAUAAUUUUUUCCGAAAAAUUAUAAAAUCCAAAAUGGAUAUGCAAAAAAAAUUGCCUGAAAACUGGCAAUAACAGGUCUGUAAUGCCCUUAGUUGUCUGAGGCUGCACGCGUGCUACAAUGAAAAUUGCAGUGCGUGUUGUUGUCCUGAAAAGGAUGACUAAACGUGUCAAAUUAUUCCGCAUUCGGGAUCAUGAACUGUAAUUGUUCAUGUGAACGAGGAACUUCAAGUAAGUGUGUGUCAUCAGCGCACGCUGAUUACGUCCCUGUCUUUUGUACACACCGCCCGUCGCUGCCUAGAACUGAAUUGAUUCAAGAAGAUGAGGGAGAUAUUCUUAUAUUACUAUAAGUUAUGUUGAACUCAUUUGAUUGUAUCGGUUUGAACCAGGC
RNAcentral lists this ribosomal RNA (1652 nucleotides) under Propanagrolaimus filiformis. Its description in RNAcentral is "SSU rRNA". It matches the Rfam family "Eukaryotic small subunit ribosomal RNA". Lineage: Eukaryota; Metazoa; Nematoda; Chromadorea; Rhabditida; Panagrolaimidae. The record is from RNAcentral.